Molecule: ribosomal RNA, 477 nt
Filed under: Candidatus Scalindua brodae
Lineage: Bacteria; Pseudomonadati; Planctomycetota; Candidatus Brocadiia; Candidatus Brocadiales; Candidatus Scalinduaceae
Description: bacterial SSU rRNA
Rfam family: Bacterial small subunit ribosomal RNA
Source: RNAcentral
UUCGCAAUGCCCGAAAGGGUGACGAAGCGACGCCGCGUGGGUGAGGAAGGCCUUCGGGUUGUAAAGCCCUGUCAGGAGUUAAGAAAUGUAAGUGCGCUAAUAUCGCAUUUAUUUGACGAAGGCUCCAAAGGAAGUCACGGCUAACUCUGUGCCAGCAGCCGCGGUAAUACAGAGGUGGCAAGCGUUGUUCGGAAUUAUUGGGCGUAAAGAGCACGUAGGUGGGUUUGUAAGUCAGAUGUGAAGGCCUUCUGUUCAACGGAAGAAUUGCAUCUGAAACUGCGAGUCUUGAGUGUAGGAGGGGAGAAUGGAACUUCUGGUGGAGCGGUGAAAUGCGUAGAUAUCAGAAGGAACGCCGGCGGCGAAAGCGAUUCUCUGGCCUAUUACUGACACUCAGUGUGCGAAAGCUAGGGGAGCAAACGGGAUUAGAUACCCCGGUAGUCCUAGCCGUAAACGAUGGGCACUAAGUAGAGGGGUUUU